GCCGGGCGCGGUGGCGCGUGCCUGUAGUCCCAGCUUCUGGGGAGGCUGAGGUGGGAGGAUCGCUUGAGCCCAGGAGUUCUGGGCUGCAGUGCGCUAUGCCAAUCAGGUGUCCACACUAAGUUCGGCAUCAAUAUGGUGACCACCCGUGAGCGGGGGACCACCAGGUUGCCUAAGGAGGGGUGAACCGGCCCAGGUCGGAAACGGAGCAGGUCAAAACUCCCGUGCUGAUCAGAAAGACACGAGAUAAGAGUGUAUAAAAGGCUGGUAAGUGGAUGGCAUAUAUCUUCCUCU
RNAcentral lists this signal recognition particle RNA (291 nucleotides) under Cebus imitator (Panamanian white-faced capuchin). RNAcentral describes it as "Metazoan signal recognition particle RNA (ENSCCAG00000005370.1)". It matches the Rfam family "Metazoan signal recognition particle RNA". Rfam says of the family: The signal recognition particle (SRP) is a universally conserved ribonucleoprotein. The record is from RNAcentral. Lineage: Eukaryota; Metazoa; Chordata; Mammalia; Primates; Cebidae.